RNAcentral lists this transfer RNA (83 nucleotides) under Echinococcus granulosus. Its description in RNAcentral is "transfer RNA-Ser". It matches the Rfam family "tRNA". Rfam says of the family: Transfer RNA (tRNA) molecules are approximately 80 nucleotides in length. Their secondary structure includes four short double-helical elements and three loops (D, anti-codon, and T loops). Further hydrogen bonds mediate the characteristic L-shaped molecular structure. tRNAs have two regions of fundamental functional importance: the anti-codon, which is responsible for specific mRNA codon recognition, and the 3' end, to which the tRNAs corresponding amino acid is attached (by aminoacyl-tRNA synthetases). tRNAs cope with the degeneracy of the genetic code in two manners: having more than one tRNA (with a specific anti-codon) for a particular amino acid; and 'wobble' base-pairing, i.e. permitting non-standard base-pairing at the 3rd anti-codon position. Lineage: Eukaryota; Metazoa; Platyhelminthes; Cestoda; Cyclophyllidea; Taeniidae. The record is from RNAcentral.
UGUCGCGAUGGCCGAGUGGUUAAGGCGAUGGACUCGAAAUCCAUUGGGAACUCCCCGCGCAGGUUCGAAUCCUGCUCGCGACG